This 429-nucleotide ribosomal RNA is filed under the name Acidobacteriota bacterium. RNAcentral's name for it is "Acidobacteria bacterium partial 16S ribosomal RNA". It matches the Rfam family "Bacterial small subunit ribosomal RNA", at positions 355 to 776 of the family's 1533-position model. Lineage: Bacteria; Pseudomonadati; Acidobacteriota. The record is from RNAcentral.
UGGGGAAUUUUGGACAAUGGGGGAAACCCUGAUCCAGCCAUCCCGCGUGUGCGAUGAAGGCCCUCGGGUUGUAAAGCACUUUUGGCAGGAAAGAAACGUCAUGGGUUAAUACCCCGUGAAACUGACGGUACCUGCAGAAUAAGCACCGGCUAACUACGUGCCAGCAGCCGCGGUAAUACGUAGGGUGCAAGCGUUAAUCGGAAUUACUGGGCGUAAAGCGUGCGCAGGCGGUUCGGAAAGAAAGAUGUGAAAUCCCAGGGCGCAACUUUGGAACUGCAUUUUUAACUACCGGGCUAGAGUGUGUCAGAGGGAGGUGGAAUUCCGCGUGUAGCAGUGAAAUGCGUAGAUAUGCGGAGGAACACCGAUGGCGAAGGCAGCCUCCUGGGAUAACACUGACGCUCAUGCACGAAAGCGUGGGGAGCAAACAGG